Roridomyces roridus is the source of this 94-nucleotide non-coding RNA. The record is from the annotation of a GenBank genome assembly. Lineage: Eukaryota; Fungi; Basidiomycota; Agaricomycetes; Agaricales; Mycenaceae.
GCAUUAAUGGGGUAGUGGUAACCUGGGUCGUUGCCAUCGUGUAUUUGCAGCCGCAAAACUCGACCCGCCGGGGGUUCGAUUCCCCCUUAAUGCA